GACAAACGCUGGCGGCGUGCUUAAUACAUGCAAGUCGAACGGAAAGGCCCUGCUCUUGCGGGGUGCUCGAGUGGCGAACGGGUGAGUAACACGUGAGUAACCUGCCCUUGUCUUUGGGAUAACUUCAGGAAACUGGGGCUAAUAUCGGAUAGGAGCUCCUGCUGCAUGGUGGGGGUUGGAAAGCUUCGGCGGUUGGGGAUAGACUCGCGGCUUAUCCGCUUGAUAGUGAGGUAGUGGCUUACCAAGGCUUUGACGGGUAGCCGGCCUGAGAGGGCGGCCGGGGACAAUGGGACUACGGGACGGACCAGACGCGUACGGGAGGCAACAGGGGAAAGUAUUACAGAACAGGCGGGAGCCUGAUGCGACAGCGCCGCGUGCGGAAAGCCGGCCUUCGGGUUAUAAACCGCUUUCGCCUGUAACAAAGCGUGAGUGACGGUAAUGGGUAAAAAAGCACCGGCUAACUACGUG
RNAcentral lists this ribosomal RNA (468 nucleotides) under uncultured bacterium. RNAcentral describes it as "partial 16S ribosomal RNA". It matches the Rfam family "Bacterial small subunit ribosomal RNA", at positions 28 to 507 of the family's 1533-position model. The record is from RNAcentral.